GCUGAGGUGGGGACCGUGGCCAGCUCACUCCAGGCUGGGGACAGGCAGAGGCACGGGUUUGGGAAGCCAGGGGAGAAGUAAUUGGUGAAAUGGAGACUGAGAAAGGAGGGAAAAAUGCUGCCACACUUAGGAACAAGAGUGCCACGACUGCAGCAGCACCCACCCUUCCACAGCCCAGCCUGUUACACUUCAUAAACACCGUAUUCACUUUGAACUGCUCAAGAUGAACUUGGAAAGAGUAAAAUGGGACUUGGUGUAUCCAGGAGCAGCACCCUUCCACACCACCACCAGCUCAGGGGAGCACUGCACCAUACAAACCAGUAGUGACACCUUGUGUGCAAAUAAGACAUUAAUCUGCUUGAUUGGGGAAUAGGUUGAGGAAAGCAUUUCUUUCUGAUAUGCUUAAAACAAACAAAGGAAAAGUUUCCUGUGAGAAGAAACACAUAAGAAGUAUUUACUAAAAAAGUACAUGCACCACAACAAGUAAAAAAUAGCCACCAUACUGGGCUGUACAAACAGCCUGUUGGGAUUUUCCAAGGGUGCCCUUGUAGAGGGAAGUGCAGUAUGUUUAAAGAUACUGCAUCAAU
This is a long non-coding RNA of Pezoporus flaviventris, 587 nucleotides long. RefSeq lists it as uncharacterized. The record is from RefSeq and is a predicted model, not a curated record. The transcript is spliced from 3 exons. Lineage: Eukaryota; Metazoa; Chordata; Aves; Psittaciformes; Psittacidae.